UUGGGUGUUUUUUUUUUUUUUUUUUUUGGGUGUUUUUUUUUUUUUUC
This 47-nucleotide non-coding RNA is filed under the name Madagascaria erythrocladioides. The record is from RNAcentral. Lineage: Eukaryota; Rhodophyta; Compsopogonophyceae; Erythropeltidales; Erythrotrichiaceae.